GGGCCCGUGGGGUAGCUGGAUAUCCUCGGGGCCUCCGGAGCCCUUGACCCGGGUUCGAAUCCCGGCGGGCCCG
Molecule: transfer RNA, 73 nt
Filed under: Candidatus Aciduliprofundum boonei
Lineage: Archaea; Methanobacteriati; Thermoplasmatota
Also listed under: 1 other name
Description: tRNA-Arg
Rfam family: tRNA
About the family: Transfer RNA (tRNA) molecules are approximately 80 nucleotides in length. Their secondary structure includes four short double-helical elements and three loops (D, anti-codon, and T loops). Further hydrogen bonds mediate the characteristic L-shaped molecular structure. tRNAs have two regions of fundamental functional importance: the anti-codon, which is responsible for specific mRNA codon recognition, and the 3' end, to which the tRNAs corresponding amino acid is attached (by aminoacyl-tRNA synthetases). tRNAs cope with the degeneracy of the genetic code in two manners: having more than one tRNA (with a specific anti-codon) for a particular amino acid; and 'wobble' base-pairing, i.e. permitting non-standard base-pairing at the 3rd anti-codon position.
Source: RNAcentral